CACGUGAGCAACCUGGCUCUAAGAGGGGGACAACAGUUGGAAACGACUGCUAAUACCGCAUAACGUAUCGGGAUGGCAUCUUCCUGAUACCAAAGAUUUUAUCGCUUAGAGAUGGGCUCGCGUCUGAUUAGAUAGUUGGCGGGGUAACGGCCCACCAAGUCGACGAUCAGUAGCCGGACUGAGAGGUUGAACGGCCACAUUGGGACUGAGACACGGCCCAGACUCCUACGGGAGGCAGCAGUGGGGGAUAUUGGACAAUGGGGGCAACCCUGAUCCAGCGACGCCGCGUGAGGGAAGAAGGUUUUCGGAUUGUAAACCUCUGUUGACGGA
This 330-nucleotide ribosomal RNA is filed under the name uncultured bacterium. Its description in RNAcentral is "bacterial SSU rRNA". It matches the Rfam family "Bacterial small subunit ribosomal RNA", at positions 114 to 443 of the family's 1533-position model. The record is from RNAcentral.